This is a long non-coding RNA of Ornithodoros turicata, 604 nucleotides long. RefSeq lists it as uncharacterized. The transcript is spliced from 4 exons. The record is from RefSeq and is a predicted model, not a curated record. NCBI's taxonomy places the organism in Eukaryota, Metazoa, Arthropoda, Arachnida, Ixodida, Argasidae.
CAGGCCUAGAGGCAUUUCACAGCCUACUCAUAAGAUUCGCUCCGAAAUCUGUGGGGUUCUGUGCUAGAGUGAUGAGAAGCAGGGUGUAUCUCGCCAUUCUUCACUUUAACGAGAACUCAGACAGACAGCAUGCACUGACCGAAGAUGGGGAGUUCAGGUAUCGAGUGAAAGCAUCGAAAGUUCACAAAGGGGAACACGUUGCACUGCCCAUCAAAGAGGAGCCAACAUUUCAUUACUACAAUCAACUUGUUGACAAGUGUGUGGAGCUAUGCAACACAUGGGCUACAUUCCCCGAGGCAUUCAAAGCAUACUCUGGUGACGACCCUCCAUUCUUAAGCCAAACAAACCCUGCCCCAGACAAGCGAGAACUCAUUUACGCAAGACAACGUAGGUUGGGACCUUGCAGCUGCCUCCAGUGUACAGAGUAGCAUGCAUAUGAUCUAAAGCCCCUGUAGCUGCCAGAUCGUGAAGGGAAGGCCUUUCGUAUCGCCGUUACCACGCAUGAUGGAAGCACUCGUCUAUCCUCCGGAGGAAGAGGCCCCCAUGUCCAGGAAGUGAAAUGACGAUAUGCUAUGUGACGCAGUAUCCUGAAAACAAAGAGAAA